Molecule: ribosomal RNA, 273 nt
Filed under: uncultured bacterium
Lineage: Bacteria
Description: partial 16S ribosomal RNA
Rfam family: Bacterial small subunit ribosomal RNA
Source: RNAcentral
UACAGAGGGUGCAAGCGUUAAUCGGAAUUACUGGGCGUAAAGCGCGCGUAGGUGGUUGAUUAAGUCAGAUGUGAAAUCCCCGGGCUUAACCUGGGAACUGCAUCUGAUACUGGUCAACUUGAGUAUGGUAGAGGGUAGUGGAAUUUCCGGUGUAGCGGUGAAAUGCGUAGAUAUCGGAAGGAACACCAGUGGCGAAGGCGACUACCUGGACCAAUACUGACACUGAGGUGCGAAAGCGUGGGUAGCAAACAGGAUUAGAUACCCCGGUAGUCC